UACGGAGGGUGCAAGCGUUAACCGGAAUUACUGGGCGUAAAGCGCGUGCAGGUGGUUUGAUAAGCGAGAUGUGAAAGCCCCGGGCUCAACCUGGGAACGGCAUUGCGAACUGUCAGGCUAGAGUAUGGUAGAGGAGUGUAGAAUUUCAUGUGUAGCGGUGAAAUGCGUAGAUAUAGGAAGGAACACCAGUGGCGAAGGCGGCACUCUGGACCAAUACUGACACUGAGGUGCGAAAGCGUGGGGAGCAAACAGG
This 253-nucleotide unclassified non-coding RNA is filed under the name uncultured Alteromonadales bacterium. RNAcentral describes it as "contains 16S-23S intergenic spacer region". It matches the Rfam family "Bacterial small subunit ribosomal RNA", at positions 524 to 776 of the family's 1533-position model. Lineage: Bacteria; Pseudomonadati; Pseudomonadota; Gammaproteobacteria; Alteromonadales. The record is from RNAcentral.